GGGUANGNCGGAGCCUACCAUGCAAGUCGAGCGGUAGCACAGGGAGCUUGCUCCUGGGUGACGAGCGGCGGACGGGUGAGUAAUGUCUGGGAAACUGCCUGAUGGAGGGGGAUAACUACUGGAAACGGUAGCUAAUACCGCAUAACGUCGCAAGACCAAAGAGGGGGACCUUCGGGCCUCUUGCCAUCAGAUGUGCCCAGAUGGGAUUAGCUAGUAGGUGGGGUAAUGGCUCACCUAGGCGACGAUCCCUAGCUGGUCUGAAAGGAUGACCAGCCACACUGGAACUGAGACACGGUCCAGACUCCUACGGGAGGCAGCAGUGGGGAAUAUUGCACAAUGGGCGCAAGCCUGAUGCAGCCAUGCCGCGUGUAUGAAGAAGGCCUUCGGGUUGUAAAGUACUUUCAGCGAGGAGGAAGGCAUUGUGGUUAAUAACCGCAGUGAUUGACGUUACUCGCAGAAGANNCACCGGCUAACUCCGUGCCUGCAACCGNGGNAAUACGGAAGGUGCGUCCUUA
This 515-nucleotide ribosomal RNA is filed under the name Enterobacter sp. 1AR11. RNAcentral's name for it is "bacterial SSU rRNA". It matches the Rfam family "Bacterial small subunit ribosomal RNA", at positions 38 to 536 of the family's 1533-position model. The record is from RNAcentral. Lineage: Bacteria; Pseudomonadati; Pseudomonadota; Gammaproteobacteria; Enterobacterales; Enterobacteriaceae.